CUGCGGUCGGCUCAGUGGUAGAGUGUUUGCCUAGCAUGUGUAAGGCACUGGGUUUGAAUCUCAGUACCUCAUA
This 73-nucleotide transfer RNA is filed under the name Marmota monax (woodchuck). RNAcentral's name for it is "tRNA.Ala". The record is from RNAcentral. Lineage: Eukaryota; Metazoa; Chordata; Mammalia; Rodentia; Sciuridae.